This 443-nucleotide ribosomal RNA is filed under the name uncultured bacterium. RNAcentral's name for it is "bacterial SSU rRNA". It matches the Rfam family "Bacterial small subunit ribosomal RNA", at positions 338 to 795 of the family's 1533-position model. The record is from RNAcentral.
CCUACGGGGUGCAGCAGUGGGGAAUUUUCCGCAAUGGGCGAAAGCCUGACGGAGCAAUACCGCGUGAGGGAGGAAGGCUCUUGGGUUGUAAACCUCUUUUCUCAGGGAAGAACAAAAUGACGGUACCUGAGGAAUAAGCAUCGGCUAACUCCGUGCCAGCAGCCGCGGUAAUACGGAGGAUGCAAGCGUUAUCCGGAAUUAUUGGGCGUAAAGCGUCCGCAGGUGGCAAUUCAAGUCUGCUGUUAAAGGUUCUGGCUCAACCAGAGACAGGCAGUGGAAACUGAAUAGCUAGAGUGCGGUAGGGGCAGAGGGAAUUCCCAGUGUAGCGGUGAAAUGCGUAGAGAUUGGGAAGAACACCGGUGGCGAAAGCGCUCUGCUAGGCCGUAACUGACGCUCAUGGACGAAAGCUAGGGGAACGAAUGGGAUUAGAUACCCGUGUAGUC